RNAcentral lists this ribosomal RNA (497 nucleotides) under uncultured bacterium. RNAcentral's name for it is "partial 16S ribosomal RNA". It matches the Rfam family "Bacterial small subunit ribosomal RNA", at positions 28 to 507 of the family's 1533-position model. The record is from RNAcentral.
GAUGAACGCUGGCGGCGUGCCUAAUACAUGCAAGUCGAGCGAACAGACGAGGAGCUUGCUCCUCUGACGUUAGCGGCGGACGGGUGAGUAACACGUGGAUAACCUACCUAUAAGACUGGGAUAACUUCGGGAAACCGGAGCUAAUACCGGAUAAUAUAUUGAACCGCAUGGUUCAAUAGUGAAAGACGGUUUUGCUGUCACUUAUAGAUGGAUCCGCGCCGCAUUAGCUAGUUGGUAAGGUAACGGCUUACCAAGGCAACGAUGCGUAGCCGACCUGAGAGGGUGGUCGGCCACACUGGAACUGAGACACGGUCCAGACUCCUACGGGAGGCAGCAGUAGGGAAUCUUCCGCAAUGGGCGGAAGCUUGACGGAGCAACGCCGCGUGAGUGAUGAAGGUCUUCGGAUCGUAAAACUCUGUUAUUAGGGAAGAACAAAUGUGUAAGUAACUAUGCACGUCUUGACGGUACCUAAUCAGAAAGCCACGGCUAACUACGUG